UGGGGAAUAUUGGACAAUGGGCGAAAGCCUGAUCCAGCCAUGCCGCGUGUGUGAAGAAGGUCUUCGGAUUGUAAAGCACUUUAAGUUGGGAGGAAGGGCAGUAAGCGAAUACCUUGCUGUUUUGACGUUACCGACAGAAUAAGCACCGGCUAACUCUGUGCCAGCAGCCGCGGUAAUACAGAGGGUGCAAGCGUUAAUCGGAAUUACUGGGCGUAACGCGCGCGUAGGUGGUUCGUUAAGUUGAAUGUGAAAGCCCCGGGCUCAACCUGGGAACUGCAUCCAAAACUGGCGAGCUAGAGUAGGGCAGAGGGUGGUGGAAUUUCCUGUGUAGCGGUGAAAUGCGUAGAUAUAGGAAGGAUCUCCAGUGGCGAAGGCGACCACCUGGGCUUACACUGACACUGAGGUGCGAAAGCGUGGGGAGCAAACAGG
Molecule: ribosomal RNA, 429 nt
Filed under: Pseudomonadota bacterium
Lineage: Bacteria; Pseudomonadati; Pseudomonadota
Description: Proteobacteria bacterium partial 16S ribosomal RNA
Rfam family: Bacterial small subunit ribosomal RNA
Source: RNAcentral